Molecule: non-coding RNA, 600 nt
Organism: Camellia sinensis
Lineage: Eukaryota; Viridiplantae; Streptophyta; Magnoliopsida; Ericales; Theaceae
Source: RefSeq, a predicted model, not a curated record
GUGACAUGUCGAGAUCAGGUCUGGGCACAUUAUUAAUUACCAAUGAAAAUAUUUGUUGGUUGAUUGAGCUUGCAAGUCUCUAGUGCAUUCCUUUGGUAGGAAUUUUCAUCUGACUUGGGGAGUCGUACAGUAAAGUGGAUUGCUGAUGUUUCAAGGUUUCGAAAUUAUCAGUUUCCAUAGGUGAGGGUGUGGGACAAGUCUUCCCAGUAUGGAAGACCGAUGAUGCAAGAGGAAAUAUCAAGAUAGGUGCUUGGGAAGGAGGGAUAUUUAAGAGGAUUUGGGGUCAGCCCAAAACUCUCUUCCUCCGAUUAUGGAUCAAAUGCUACUGCACCACGAGAGGUGGAGAUGCAAAGACUUUAGAUCCGAGGUGGUGGAGAUUACUUUUGGCAUGAAACAUAUUACUAUUGGCGUGGUAUAGAUUACUAGUGGAUAUUUCUUUUUUGUGUACGGAGGACUUGAUUUUUGUAUGAUUCUCUGUUUGUAUAGAAUUAUUAUUUUAGGUUGGAUUAUAUUUAGUUUGUAUGGAAUUUGACGUCAAAAUAUCAAAUUUUUGGAUGCUUGAAAAUGAAAUAGAAAUAGAUAUAUGUAUUGUUUUGUUUA